UACGUAGGCAGCAAGCGUUGUUCGGAAUUACUGGGCGUAAAGAGUGUGUAGGCGGUGUUCUAAGUUUGGUGUGAAAUCUCCCGGCUCAACUGGGAGGGUGCGCCGAAGACUGGAAGGCUUGAGUAUGGGAGAGGUAAGCGGAAUUCCUGGUGUAGCGGUGAAAUGCGUAGAUAUCAGGAGGAACACCUGCGGUGUAGACGGCUUACUGGACCAUAACUGACGCUGAGGCACGAAAGCGUGGGUAGCAAACAGG
Molecule: ribosomal RNA, 253 nt
Filed under: uncultured bacterium
Lineage: Bacteria
Description: partial 16S ribosomal RNA
Rfam family: Bacterial small subunit ribosomal RNA
Source: RNAcentral